This 60-nucleotide transfer RNA is filed under the name Haemaphysalis yeni. RNAcentral's name for it is "tRNA-Arg". The record is from RNAcentral. Lineage: Eukaryota; Metazoa; Arthropoda; Arachnida; Ixodida; Ixodidae.
UAAAAUAAAGCGAUUUAUUGCAUUCAGUUUCGACCUGAACUUAGAUGAUUUCUAUUUUUU